RNAcentral lists this ribosomal RNA (252 nucleotides) under uncultured bacterium. RNAcentral describes it as "partial 16S ribosomal RNA". It matches the Rfam family "Bacterial small subunit ribosomal RNA", at positions 524 to 776 of the family's 1533-position model. The record is from RNAcentral.
UACGGAGGUUGCGAGCGUUAUCCGGAUUUAUUGGGUUUAAAGGGUGCGCAGGCGGUCUGUUAAGUCAGCGGUCAAAGCCCGGGGCUCAACCCCGGCCCGCCGUUGAAACUGGCAGUCUCGAGUUGGAGAGAAGUAUGCGGAAUGCGCGGUGUAGCGGUGAAAUGCAUAGAUAUCGCGCAGAACUCCGAUUGCGAAGGCAGCAUGCCGGCUCCACACUGACGCUGAGGCACGAAAGCGUGGGUAUCGAACAGG